GAUGAACGCUGGCGGCGUGCCUAAUACAUGCAAGUCGAACGAACAGACGAUGAGCUUGCUCCUCUGACGUUAGCGGCGGACGGGUGAGUAACACGUGGAUAACCUACUUAUAAUACUUGGAUGACUUCGGGAAACCGGAUCUAAUACUGCAUAAUAUAUUGAACGGCAUGGUUCAAUAGUUCAUGACGGUUUUGCUGUCACUUAUAGAUGGAGCCGCGCUGCAUUAGCUAGUUGGUAAGGUACCGGCUUACCAAGGCGACGUUGCGUAGCCGACCUGAGAGGGUGAUCAGCCACACUGGAACUGAGACACGGUCCAGACUCCUACGGGAGGCAGCAGUGGGGAAUCUUGCACAAUGGGCGAAAGCUUGACCGAGCAACGCCGCGUGAGUGAAGAAGGUCUUCGGAUCGUAAAGCCCUGUUAUUAGGGAAGAACAACUGUAUAUGAAAAUAUGGCCGUUUUGACGGUACCUAAUGAGAAAGCAACGGCUAACUACGUG
RNAcentral lists this ribosomal RNA (497 nucleotides) under uncultured bacterium. RNAcentral's name for it is "partial 16S ribosomal RNA". It matches the Rfam family "Bacterial small subunit ribosomal RNA", at positions 28 to 507 of the family's 1533-position model. The record is from RNAcentral.